This 497-nucleotide ribosomal RNA is filed under the name uncultured bacterium. RNAcentral's name for it is "partial 16S ribosomal RNA". It matches the Rfam family "Bacterial small subunit ribosomal RNA", at positions 28 to 507 of the family's 1533-position model. The record is from RNAcentral.
GAUGAACGCUGGCGGCGUGCCUAAUACAUGCAAGUCGAGCGAACAGAUGAGGAGCUUGCUCCUCUGACGUUAGCGGCGGACGGGUGAGUAACACGUGGAUAACCUACCUAUAAGACUGGGAUAACUUCGGGAAACCGGAGCUAAUACCGGAUAAUAUAUUGAACCGCAUGGUUCAAUAGUGAAAUACGGUUUUGCUGUCACUUAUAGAUGGAUCCGCGCCGCAUUAGCUAGUUGGUAAGGUAACGGCUUACCAAGGCAACGAUGCGUAGCCGACCUGAGAGGGUGAUCGGCCACACUGGAACUGAGACACGGUCCAGACUCCUACGGGAGGCAGCAGUAGGGAAUCUUCCGCAAUGGGCGAAAGCCUGACGGAGCAACGCCGCGUGAGUGAUGAAGGUCUUCGGAUCGUAAAACUCUGUUAUUAGGGAAGAACAAAUGUGUAAGUAACUAUGCACGUCUUGACGGUACCUAAUCAGAAAGCCACGGCUAACUACGUG